UCUCAAUGGAGCCGACCUUGAAAUACCACCCUGAUCUGUUUGAGGUUCUAACCUUGGCCCGUUAUCCGGGCUGGGGACAGUGCAUGGUAGGCAGUUUGACUGGGGCGGUCUCCUCCCAAAGUGUAACGGAGGAGUACGAAGGUACGCUAGGUACGGUCGGAAAUCGUGCUGAUAGUGCAAUGGCAUAAGCGUGCUUGACUGUGAGACUGACAAGUCGAACAGGUGCGAAAGCAGGUCAUAGUGAUCCGGUGGUUCUGUAUGGAAGGGCCAUCGCUCAACGGAUAAAAGGUACUCUGGGGAUAACAGGCUGAUACCGCCCAAGAGUUCAUAUCGACGGCGGUGUUUGGCACCUCGAUGUCGGCUCAUCUCAUCCUGGGGCUGUAGCCGGUCCCAAGGGUAUGGCUGUUCGCCAUUUAAAGAGGUACGUGAGCUGGGUUUAAAACGUCGUGAGACAGUUUGGUCCCUAUCUGCCGUGGGCGCUGGAUAUUUGAAGGGGGCUGCUCCUAGUACGAGAGGACCGGAGUGGACGAACCUCUGGUGUACCGGUUGUCACGCCAGUGGCAUCGCCGGGUAGCUAUGUUCGGAAGAGAUAACCGCUGAAAGCAUCUAAGCGGGAAACUCGCCUUAAGAUGAGAUAUCCCCGGGGCUUCGAGCCCCUUGAAGGGUCGUUCAAGACCAGGACGUUGAUAGGUCAGGUGUGCACGUACAGUAAUGUACUGAGCUAACUGAUACUAAUUGCCCGUAAGGCUUGAUCCUAUAACAG
This 763-nucleotide ribosomal RNA is filed under the name Burkholderia sp. SRS-W-2-2016. Its description in RNAcentral is "bacterial LSU rRNA". It matches the Rfam family "Bacterial large subunit ribosomal RNA", at positions 2175 to 2925 of the family's 2925-position model. The record is from RNAcentral. Lineage: Bacteria; Pseudomonadati; Pseudomonadota; Betaproteobacteria; Burkholderiales; Burkholderiaceae.